UCGAGAAUUUUUCACAAUGGGCGAAAGCCUGAUGGAGCGACGCCGCGUGGGGGAUGAAUGGCUUCGGCCCGUAAACCCCUGUCAUUUGUGACCAAACCUUCCGAUCUAAUAAGUCGGAAGCUGAUGGUAGCGGAAGAGGAAGGGACGGCUAACUCUGUGCCAGCAGCCGCGGUAAUACAGAGGUCCCAAGCGUUGUUCGGAUUCACUGGGCGUAAAGGGUGCGUAGGUGGUCGGGUAAGUCUGAUGUGAAAUCUCCGAGCUUAACUCGGAAAUGGCAUUGGAUACUAUCUGACUGGAGGGUUGGAGGGGGGACUGGAAUUCUCGGUGUAGCAGUGAAAUGCGUAGAUAUCGAGAGGAACACCAGUGGCGAAGGCGAGUCCCUGGACAACUCCUGACACUGAGGCACGAAAGCUAGGGGAGCAAACAGGAUUAGAUACCCCGGUAGUCC
RNAcentral lists this ribosomal RNA (448 nucleotides) under uncultured bacterium. RNAcentral describes it as "bacterial SSU rRNA". It matches the Rfam family "Bacterial small subunit ribosomal RNA", at positions 355 to 796 of the family's 1533-position model. The record is from RNAcentral.